CUAUCAAGUGAUAACGUGGUAGAUGAACUGGCACGUCAUCACCCAACAGUGUUUGCCGCAUCAUCACCAUGUCCACGUGGCAGUCCCUUGGAUGACGUGGCAGACACUGUUGGGUGAUGACGUGCCAGUUCAUCUACCACGUUAUCACUUGAUAGAG
Cajanus cajan (pigeon pea) is the source of this 157-nucleotide microRNA precursor. It matches the Rfam family "MIR4371 microRNA precursor family". The record is from Rfam. NCBI's taxonomy places the organism in Eukaryota, Viridiplantae, Streptophyta, Magnoliopsida, Fabales, Fabaceae.